RNAcentral lists this ribosomal RNA (366 nucleotides) under uncultured eukaryote. RNAcentral describes it as "partial 18S ribosomal RNA". It matches the Rfam family "Eukaryotic small subunit ribosomal RNA", at positions 592 to 976 of the family's 1831-position model. The record is from RNAcentral.
CAAUAGCGUAUAUUAACGUUGUUGCAGUUAAAAAGCUCGUAGUUGGAUUUCUGGAGGGAGCGUCGGCCCGUAUUUACGAGUGCGUGACGUCUCUGUCCAUCCUUGCGGGAAGGCACGGCAAUGACUUGUUGUGUCGGAUCGCAUCAUUUACUGUGAAAAAAUUAGAGUGUUCAAAGCAGGCUUUCGCUUGAAUACAUUAGCAUGGAAUAAUAAGAUAGGACUUUGGUGCUAUUUUGUUGGUUGAGCCUAAAGUAAUGAUUAAUAGGGAUAGUUGGGGGCACCUGUAUUGCGUUGUCAGAGGUGAAAUUCUUGGAUUUACGCAAGACAAACAGCUGCGAAAGCGUCUGCCAAGGAUGUUUUCAUUAA